Myxocyprinus asiaticus (Chinese sucker) is the source of this 846-nucleotide long non-coding RNA. RefSeq lists it as uncharacterized. The transcript is spliced from 3 exons. Lineage: Eukaryota; Metazoa; Chordata; Actinopteri; Cypriniformes; Catostomidae. The record is from RefSeq and is a predicted model, not a curated record.
GCUUUUCAGACAGUGUACUUGUUUUAGUGGUACUGUGGAACCUGAAAAGUAACUAUGUGUGGUUAUGAGAGUGUGUCAGAGAAUUUAAAGAGAUGGAGUGUACAGUUUACAAAGAAAGUGGUUUGUGAAGUAUAUGUUUCUUUUUCAGUAUGCACCUAUAUUAAAGCAUGGAAAGACUUGUCGAUGGGCCAUCUUUACAGGACGGGGUAAUGUGAUCAGCCAUACAGAGACCAGCUGCACUGUUCCCCAGUCCCAGGGGUGGACUGGCCAUAGGGAGAACCGGGACUUUUCCCAGUGGGCCGGCCACGAAACGGAGCUGAACGGGCCGCGAUCCCCAUCCAAUCCACUGAGAAAGGCUGUAUCUAUUUCUCGUCCUCCUGAGCUGUGGAGUGUGACAAUGGUGUUUGUAUCCUGUGUCGUCAAACGCCAUUAUCACACUAAAUAGCCACGGUGAGACCUCACAACCUCCUCAGCCAAGCAGCACAGUGCAACGGUUCUCACAGCACUUCUAUGGACUUCUUGGGAAUAUGAGAUGUUGACCAUUGUGGGUUAUUGUAUGAAUGUGUGUGUACAUAUAAAGGGGCUUUAUUUUGUCUGUGGUGGUUGGUUGGAUGAUAGAUUGGUAGUUAGUGAAAAUAGAUGAUACAGCAGGGCAGCAUGUCCGCUAUAGGUUUACCUACUGACCCAGUUGUUUAUAUUAGACAUGUUAAUGAGUACAGUUUGUACACGUCAUGUGAAAUGUGGCACACUUCCCUCGUAUUGUGUUACAUCGUACACAGUGUACGUGACUUAGCAUUACACCCCCAAGACAAUAAAACCAAUGUGUUGAUAGUCAAUUUCAAGAGA